GAUGAACGCUGGCGGCGUGCUUAACACAUGCAAGUCGAACGGAAAGGCCCAAGCUUGCUUGGGUACUCGAGUGGCGAACGGGUGAGUAACACGUGGGUGAUCUGCCCCGCACUUCGGGAUAAGCCUGGGAAACUGGGUCUAAUACCGGAUAGGACAGUGGUUUGGAUGCCAUUGUGGAAAGUUUUUUCGGUGUGGGAUGAGCUCGCGGCCUAUCAGCUUGUUGGUGGGGUAAUGGCCUACCAAGGCGUCGACGGGUAGCCGGCCUGAGAGGGUGUACGGCCACAUUGGGACUGAGAGACGGCCCAGGCUCCUACGGGAGGCAGCAGGGGGGAAUAUUGCAGAAUGGGCGCAAGCCUGAUGCAGCGACGCCGCGUGGGGGAUGACGGCCUUCGGGUUGUAAACUCCUUUCGCUAGGGACGAAGCGUUAUGUGACGGUACCUAGAGAAGAAGCACCGGCUAACUACGUG
This 467-nucleotide ribosomal RNA is filed under the name uncultured bacterium. Its description in RNAcentral is "partial 16S ribosomal RNA". It matches the Rfam family "Bacterial small subunit ribosomal RNA", at positions 28 to 507 of the family's 1533-position model. The record is from RNAcentral.